GUGGAUUAGAUACCUGGGUAGUCCACGCUGUAAACGAUGAGAACUAGGUGUCGUGGGUGUUGACCCCCGCGGUGCCGCAGCUAACGCAUUAAGUUCUCCGCCUGGGAAGUACGGCCGCAAGGCUAAAACUCAAAGGAAUUGACGGGGGCCCGCACAAGCGGUGGAGCAUGUGGUUUAAUUCGACGCAACGCGCAGAACCUUACCCAGACUUGACAUCUAUCAAACCCGGCCCAAAAGCUGGGGUGCCCGCAAGGGAAUGGUAAGACAGGUGCUGCACGGCCGUCGCCAACU
RNAcentral lists this ribosomal RNA (291 nucleotides) under uncultured bacterium. Its description in RNAcentral is "partial 16S ribosomal RNA". It matches the Rfam family "Bacterial small subunit ribosomal RNA", at positions 773 to 1060 of the family's 1533-position model. The record is from RNAcentral.